GAUAAACGCUGGCGGCGUGCCUAAUACAUGCAAGUCGAGCGAACGGACGAGAAGCUUGCUUCUCUGAUGUUAGCGGCGGACGGGUGAGUAACACGUGGAUAACCUACCUAUAAGACUGGGAUAACUUCGGGAAACCGGAGCUAAUACCGGAUAAUAUUUUGAACCGCAUGGCUCAAAAGUGAAAGACGGUCUUGCUGUCACUUAUAGAUGGAUCCGCGCUGCAUUAGCUAGUUGGUAAGGUAACGGCUUACCAAGGCAACGAUGCAUAGCCGACCUGAGAGGGUGAUCGGCCACACUGGAACUGAGACACGGUCCAGACUCCUACGGGAGGCAGCAGUAGGGAAUCUUCCGCAAUGGGCGAAAGCCUGACGGAGCAACGCCGCGUGAGUGAUGAAGGUCUUCGGAUCGUAAAACUCUGUUAUUAGGGAAGAACAUAUGUGUAAGUAACUGUGCACAUCUUGACGGUACCUAAUCAGAAAGCCACGGCUAACUACGUGCCAGCAGCCGCGGUAAUACGUAGGUGGCAAGCGUUAUCCGGAAUUAUUGGGCGUAAAGCGCGCGUAGGCGGUUUUUUAAGUCUGAUGUGAAAGCCCACGGCUCAACCGUGGAGGGUCAUUGGAAACUGGAAAACUUGAGUGCAGAAGAGGAAAGUGGAAUUCCAUGUGUAGCGGUGAAAUGCGCAGAGAUAUGGAGGAACACCAGUGGCGAAGGCGACUUUCUGGUCUGUAACUGACGCUGAUGUGCGAAAGCGUGGGGAUCAAACAGGAUUAGAUACCCUGGUAGUCCACGCCGUAAACGAUGAGUGCUAAGUGUUAGGGGGUUUCCGCCCCUUAGUGCUGCAGCUAACGCAUUAAGCACUCCGCCUGGGGAGUACGACCGCAAGGUUGAAACUCAAAGGAAUUGACGGGGACCCGCACAAGCGGUGGAGCAUGUGGUUUAAUUCGAAGCAACGCGAAGAACCUUACCAAAUCUUGACAUCCUUUGACAACUCUAGAGAUAGAGCCUUCCCCUUCGGGGGACAAAGUGACAGGUGGUGCAUGGUUGUCGUCAGCUCGUGUCGUGAGAUGUUGGGUUAAGUCCCGCAACGAGCGCAACCCUUAAGCUUAGUUGCCAUCAUUAAGUUGGGCACUCUAAGUUGACUGCCGGUGACAAACCGGAGGAAGGUGGGGAUGACGUCAAAUCAUCAUGCCCCUUAUGAUUUGGGCUACACACGUGCUACAAUGGACAAUACAAAGGGCAGCGAAACCGCGAGGUCAAGCAAAUCCCAUAAAGUUGUUCUCAGUUCGGAUUGUAGUCUGCAACUCGACUACAUGAAGCUGGAAUCGCUAGUAAUCGUAGAUCAGCGUGCUACGGUGAAUACGUUCCCGGGUCU
RNAcentral lists this ribosomal RNA (1372 nucleotides) under uncultured bacterium. Its description in RNAcentral is "bacterial SSU rRNA". It matches the Rfam family "Bacterial small subunit ribosomal RNA", at positions 28 to 1381 of the family's 1533-position model. The record is from RNAcentral.